Molecule: ribosomal RNA, 292 nt
Filed under: uncultured bacterium
Lineage: Bacteria
Description: partial 16S ribosomal RNA
Rfam family: Bacterial small subunit ribosomal RNA
Source: RNAcentral
GUGCCAGCCGCCGCGGUAAUACGUAGGUGGCGAGCGUUGUCCGGAAUCAUUGGGCGUAAAGAGCGCGUAGGUGGCUUGUCAGGUCCGGUGUGAAAUCCUGGGGCUUAACCCCAGGCCUGCAUUGGAAACCGGCUUGCUAGAGUCUGGGAGAGGAGAGUGGAAUUCCUGGUGUAGCGGUGAAAUGCGUAGAUAUCAGGAGGAACACCGGUAGCGAAGGCGGCUCUCUGGAACAGUACUGACGCUGAGGCGCGAAAGCUAGGGGAGCGAACAGGAUUAGAAACCCGGGUAGUCC